GAUGAACGCUAGCGACAGGCUUAACACAUGCAAGUCGAGGGGCAGCACAGGUAGCAAUACCGGGUGGCGACCGGUGCACGGGUGAGUAACGCGUAUGCAACUUACCUAUCAGAGGGGGAUAACCCGGCGAAAGUCGGACUAAUACCGCAUGAAGCAGGGGUCCCGCAUGGGGAUAUUUGCUAAAGAUUCAUCGCUGAUAGAUAGGCAUGCGUUCCAUUAGGCAGUUGGCGGGGUAACGGCCCACCAAACCGACGAUGGAUAGGGGUUCUGAGAGGAAGGUCCCCCACAUUGGUACUGAGACACGGACCAAACUCCUACGGGAGGCAGCAGUGAGGAAUAUUGGUCAAUGGCCGAGAGGCUGAACCAGCCAAGUCGCGUGAGGGAUGAAGGUUCUAUGGAUCGUAAACCUCUUUUAUAAGGGAAUAAAGUGCGGGACGUGUCCCGUUUUGUAUGUACCUUAUGAAUAAGGAUCGGCUAACUCCGUG
This 485-nucleotide ribosomal RNA is filed under the name uncultured bacterium. Its description in RNAcentral is "partial 16S ribosomal RNA". It matches the Rfam family "Bacterial small subunit ribosomal RNA", at positions 28 to 507 of the family's 1533-position model. The record is from RNAcentral.